RNAcentral lists this transfer RNA (105 nucleotides) under Ephemerocybe angulata. RNAcentral's name for it is "Coprinellus angulatus tRNA". It matches the Rfam family "tRNA". From Rfam's summary of the family: Transfer RNA (tRNA) molecules are approximately 80 nucleotides in length. The record is from Rfam by way of RNAcentral. Lineage: Eukaryota; Fungi; Basidiomycota; Agaricomycetes; Agaricales; Psathyrellaceae.
GGUGAGAUGGCCGAGCGGUCUAAGGCGCCAGACUAAGGACCAGCACAUUUGAUGUGCAAGUUUAUCUGGUCCGAAAGGGCGUGGGUUCGAAUCCCACUCUCAUCA